GAUUCGUUUUAUACAUGUUACGUCAAGCCGACGUAAUUUGGCCAAAGUGUAUCCUGCUAAAAAAAGAGGCCAUGAAACAGGAACAAGGAUCAUCAGCAUGAUGCAGCAAUUUAUCUUUUGAAAGAUGUCUUUAAGCCUUUAAAGCUCAACAUCAGCGUGGAUAAACAAGAAACAGCCGUCUCCAAUCAUCCCCGGCAUGCAGGGUCUUAAAGUGAGUAGAGGGGAGGUAGAGAUGAAGAUGGAGGGACUGAGCUCCACCAUUCCCGAAGGUCACCUUGAUAAUGGGUGAAGGUCACUUACAUGGAUGAAGAUCACUUAGAGAUGGGAUGAAAGUCACCUUCAUGUAGAUGGGUGGUGCUCAUUAUGGCCUUGCCUAAGGAGGAAGUCAAUUUCUCAUCGCCUGCAAGCUGAUUUUCUUUAAGGCUUUGUUCUUUCUCUCCCUCUAUCUCUGUGUCUCUCUCACUCUUUGUCUCUCUCUCUCCCUCUCUUUCUCUCUGUCUCUCUCUAUCUCUCUCUAUUUCUCUCUGUCUGCCUGCCCCCCUCUCUCUCUCUUUCUGUCUCCUCUCUCUCUCUCUCUCCUCCCUUCUCUGUUUCUGCUCCAGUUCUCUUCAUUAGGAAAGAAAAAAGAAAAAGUCCCUGACACAAAAUUGAAAAUUACGUUUCCCUCCAUUUCUAGUCGAAUUAAAUCCUGUUUGAUUUUCCAGGUUUUUUGCUAGAAGAUAAGUUUUCCCCCUUUAGGGCAUUGUUUGAAACUAGCAUACUGUAAUUCCAAAACUCUUAGAAACUGUAUCUCUAAAACAGGAAAACUGCAACAGCUACAUGUAACAACUACAUGUAUAUGGACCCUAUCCCCCAAUCUAGAUUGUUGACACAGAUGUGUGGUCAAGCACAUGUAUGAGGAACAAACUUUAUCAAAUUAAUAUCCUAUUAUGUUUACAUUGUAAAAAUGCAUGUGGAAUGAGGUAAGUAAAGGGAUCUUAAACAUACUGUAAACUAGAGCACUUUAUUUUUCCACUUUUUGUAAAUGAUGAUCUAACUUAUGAUUAAAAUUAAAAUUUGGGCAGUUAUUAUGAAGGGAGAUUGCACUAAUAAAGAGGAUUUUUGGAGCAGGCAAAUAAUUUUUGACCAGUAUUAGAGAAAUAAUAAUAAUACAACGCAAGUGACACAACAUUUUUUUAACUGCUUAAUAUCAUAUUUCUAAGGGCAUAAGAGAAGAUAUCCUAAUGAAGACAUAAUUUUCUAUUGAAUAAACUAUGAGGGAAUAUGCAGCAGAGGUGAAUUAUAUUGUAAUAUCUUAAGGAAUUAUGGAUCUGGACGCUAUUAAAGUAGUUCUGCCUAGAGCACUGGGGGUUGUGGUUUUUAAAGGACUGUUUAUUGAGUAGAGAAGGGCUUUACAGUGUAGCACACAUGGGGAUGAGGCAAGUGUGAGUUCCAGCAAUAUCGAGGAAAAUAAAAAAUAAAUUCGGAGAGUCCGAUAAUAGUUGAGCCGUUUGUAAUUUGAAGCGAAAUGUAGGGACACCGUAUCAAAAGAGGCGGAGUGCCUUUACCGUAAAUGAAGCCGCGUCUACCGCCCGGAAAUGUCGCGAUUUCUGUGUUUGGCCGUUGACAUAUAAAUACAUGCUACACAUGUAUGAAGCGAGAAAUGGUAGCUUCAAGCAGACUUUGUGCGGCUUUCUAAAGAAGCCAUAGACUUACUCGAGAAGCCCCACAGGCAUCACCCCUGACAGUUGUGAUACAUCGAGCUUCCUCGUUUCUGUUAUUGACCGUUGGCAAAAAGUGUUUCUAUUCCUGGAUUUACUGAAAAAUAAAAACAUGAAACCGACUUGCUGCAACUUUCUGAGGAAUUGUGGACUGCAGUACUUGUGCGAGGGUACAACAAGCAUUCAACCUGUGAUUCUUUGGAAGUACGCAGGGGGCUUGUUGGCCAAUGGACAACCAUUGAGGAAUCUGGAGAAACUUAUCUUUUGAAUAGAACAUUGGAGUGGAAUAGUGAAUGCAACUUUUUUUUAUUCUGCUGAUCUACGGACAUGUGAUUGCUCAAAUUUCACCUUCAUUCAAAAGA
This 2062-nucleotide long non-coding RNA is filed under the name Strongylocentrotus purpuratus (purple sea urchin). Its description in RNAcentral is "uncharacterized LOC115919489". Lineage: Eukaryota; Metazoa; Echinodermata; Echinoidea; Camarodonta; Strongylocentrotidae. The record is from RNAcentral.